AAAUUGAAGAGUUUGAUCAUGGCUCAGAUUGAACGCUGGCGGCAGGCCUAACACAUGCAAGUCGAACGGUAACAGGAAACAGCUUGCUGUUUCGCUGACGAGUGGCGGACGGGUGAGUAAUGUCUGGGAAACUGCCUGAUGGAGGGGGAUAACUACUGGAAACGGUAGCUAAUACCGCAUAAUGUCGCAAGACCAAAGAGGGGGACCUUCGGGCCUCUUGCCAUCGGAUGUGCCCAGAUGGGAUUAGCUAGUAGGUGGGGUAACGGCUCACCUAGGCGACGAUCCCUAGCUGGUCUGAGAGGAUGACCAGCCACACUGGAACUGAGACACGGUCCAGACUCCUACGGGAGGCAGCAGUGGGGAAUAUUGCACAAUGGGCGCAAGCCUGAUGCAGCCAU
Molecule: ribosomal RNA, 398 nt
Filed under: Escherichia coli
Lineage: Bacteria; Pseudomonadati; Pseudomonadota; Gammaproteobacteria; Enterobacterales; Enterobacteriaceae
Description: bacterial SSU rRNA
Rfam family: Bacterial small subunit ribosomal RNA
Source: RNAcentral